CUGUGUGUUCAACUAAACAAAAAAAAAUAUGGCGCUUUUCGUGCAGCACAUGUGUGAACGUUUUAGUGUAUCCAUUAGACGAAAGAAAACGUCUCAAAAUGACAUGUUUUUGCACUUGGAAAAGUUGACAAAUGCCACAAGAAUCGAGGAAUAUUUUGAUGAACUAAUGAAGACAGAGAUGUCUGUUCUUCAGUCACUGUGGCUGUCCAUCCAACUGAGCAGAGAUUUCUCAAUCUAUCAAUUUUGAAGCCUAGGAGAGUCUCCAGAAAUCUGCUUUCUCUAUUCAAUCAACGUCCUGAUUUACAGAUGAACUGAUGAUGAAGACCGCAGAGAUGUCCACUUUUCAUUGAUGGAUGGCUGUCCAUCACACUGAGCAGAGAUGUCUCAUCACUGAUGAAGUAUUGGAGAGUCUCUCAUCAGCAGUCUACUUUGACAAAUCAAUCAGUUUCAAAUUUAAAGAUCAAGUGAUCCAAACAGAGGUUGUCAGAUCAUCAGUCAUAGUAGCUCUCCGUGUCGCACAGAUGCUGAAUAUCCAGUUAUCUGCGUUUUCUCAGAUCAACUAAUCCAGACAGUUGAGAGUGUCUGAUCUUCAUUCAUAGUGGGAGUACCUCGGCCUUGAAUAAUCAAUCAAAUUUAAAGGUCAACUAAAUCCAGACAGAGAGUGUUGGAUAUUCUCAAGGAGUUUGCGGCCCAUCAUACAACCAUCAGCAUCGAUGCCUCAACCUGUUUGUAUAGUUUGUAAUUAGUUGUAGAUUACAGGUGUAGAUUUUAGGUUGUUAAUUGUGUGGUGAAUUGUUCACACUUUCCAUUGUGUUUAGAAUUGAUCACACUUUCCCCUGUGAAAUUCUGCACUUCCCCUGUGUUUUUAAUUUCUUGCACACCUAACUUGUGUUGUGAAUUUCUUCCACUUCCAUUGUGGUGAGUUGCUCAUACUUUCACCUUGUGUCGUGAAUUAUCAAGUUUAUAAACUGAAACGUUGUCUAGGGCUGAGUUGGAAGAAUGUUUCGCUAUCUGUUCUAGCACAUUCAUUCUAUGUAGAUGUAUGCUGAUGUAUGGAGUUGACAAACUUGGUUGCCAUAUAGUGGAGCCGGUAUGGGAAUUUUUCCCCACAGGGGUUUUUGCCCAUCUCACAUAUCAGCAAUUAGCAGGCAUGCAAUAACUGAUUUGUAUGGUUUUGGUUUCACAGCCAUAAACAAAAAAUUCAAAAACACAGCACAAAACAUUGCUGUGCUUGGAAUUCUGGAAAUGUCAAAUCUUUUAUCAAAAUAUAGUGUUGCAUGACUGAAAUAGGAGACACUUUAGUGUCUAAAUUCUUAGGAGUCAAGCAAAAUUUGACUGUUUAUUUAUUAGUUUAAUAUUUUGGUAGAUCAUUCAACGUUUCGGGUGUGCCAGGGUGCGUCACACUGCCUUUGUGUGUUGAGUACAUACACUUUCCCUUGUGUUACUCCGAGUUGCUCACACUU
This is a long non-coding RNA of Asterias rubens (European starfish), 1463 nucleotides long. RefSeq lists it as uncharacterized. The transcript has 6 exons. Lineage: Eukaryota; Metazoa; Echinodermata; Asteroidea; Forcipulatida; Asteriidae. The record is from RefSeq and is a predicted model, not a curated record.